Molecule: long non-coding RNA, 227 nt
Organism: Acanthochromis polyacanthus (spiny chromis)
Lineage: Eukaryota; Metazoa; Chordata; Actinopteri; Pomacentridae
Exons: 3
Source: RefSeq, a predicted model, not a curated record
UUUCUCUUAGGUGGAAAUACCUCCAGUUCAGAGCUUUAUGAUGAUCAACAGGCGUCCAAUCAGAGCUUAGAGGGAAUGUCAGGUGUAAAUACCUCCACUUCAGAGCUUUAUGAUGAUCAACAGGCCAACAAUCAGAGCUCAGAGGAAAUGUCAGGUGAAGGUCUCCCUAUUGAAGCAACCAUUCAAACCGAGCCAUGUAAGAAAUGCACACUCAAAAAUGACACAGG